Molecule: long non-coding RNA, 481 nt
Filed under: Bos taurus (domestic cattle)
Lineage: Eukaryota; Metazoa; Chordata; Mammalia; Artiodactyla; Bovidae
Description: long non-coding RNA NONBTAT023871
Source: RNAcentral
UUUAUGUAGGGGUUACUAAGAGCUCUGUUUUCUGUUUUUCUGUCUCUUUAUACUUUCUAUCCCAGAACAUCCACUCAUGAUUUAGGUACAAGUUCAAGAGCUCUUGAUCUCCAAAUUCAUUGCUCUGAUCUUUGAGUCUCAAAUUUUCAAGUCUUCCAUCUUUUUUCUCUUUUCUUCAUCUCUGUCUGCAGGAUUGAUGUGAAGGAUGGAGUUAGGAAAGAGAAGUUGAGCAGAGGUGCUCAAACAUUCCUCUGAAAAAUUCCACAUUUAUGAUCCUCAGAGAUUAGGUGACAUGACAUGCUCAUUUCAACCAUGAGAUCUAGGACCUCCUUCCUAAUGUUUCAUAUCCUGGUGUAAAUGAGUGAGAACACAUAAAGGCAGAAAGGGGGUAGAUUAAUGAGUCUAUUAAGGUACUUAGAAGCUUGAUGGCAAGCAUCAUAUCAUGGGGUCUUUAGAAUCCAUAUGUGAAAAAAGAACUUGC